Long non-coding RNA from Choloepus didactylus (southern two-toed sloth), 1074 nucleotides. RefSeq lists it as uncharacterized. The transcript is spliced from 3 exons. The record is from RefSeq and is a predicted model, not a curated record. NCBI's taxonomy places the organism in Eukaryota, Metazoa, Chordata, Mammalia, Pilosa, Megalonychidae.
UAGGGGAGGUCUUGCCGAGCCGCGAGCCUCCCGUGACCGGGUGGGACUGAGCCUCCCCACCUCCUCUCCACAAUCGCCAGACCAAAGGGAUGACUGUGCGCGCGCGCGCAAGGGCUCGCAAGAAAAAGAAAACUCCAAAGGAACACGCCUCCUUUCUGUGCUCCCCUUCUCCUCCCAAAGCUCCCGGACCUUCUACUCCACUGCCAGACAGCAACAGCGUCCUAACCGUCCAGCCCUUUAAGAAGACUGUCACAAAACUUCAGCCCCCUCCCAGGCCCUGAAGGGCAGGAGUCUUUUAACUGUUUCCUUUCUGAAGUGAAGGGGAGUGGACGGCUACAGGGACGGGGAUAGUUUAGCAGAGAAGACUCAGAACUCAGAAAGGCUGUGCAGAGAGAGCCAUCGUCUUUGGCAGAAAACGCCGGCAGCUUUGAACUGUGGAGGAGCAACUGGCGACAAAGCCAUGGUCCAACGGUGGUUUCUCCUCUGUGUUCCCUGCUCCCUUUGCCUGGAGUCCAUGCUCCCUUUUAGCCUGUAGGAAGUUAGAGGGCCAAAGUGGCAGGCAGCGUGCUGGAUCCAGUACAUUUUGCUUCAGUCUUGUCCCUCAAAGCCAGCGCCCAAAGGCUACAUAAACGUUUAGCCCAAGACAAAGAACUAAAGUCUGUGGAAGGUCCAGUGUGUCAACGAAUCCUAUGACUCCUCAAGAAAGAAAAACAAUGAGGAUGCAGAUCCCACAGAAAGUGGCUCUCAAUAUGUUUAUUACCACUGGGACUUUACCCUAAAUUGGGGAUGGAAGAGGAGAUGGAGGACAAAGGCCAUUGUCUGUGCUAGUUUAGAAAAAUUUGGGGACUGCUCAGAAGAAAACCCCACCUCGGAGUCCUUAGGCACACUGCUGGUGUCAGGUAUAUUGUGGAAAUUCUGCCAUUCGGUUGGGUCUUGGCCACGACAGUUCAUCUUUGUAUCACAGAACUGGUGCUGGAGGAUCCCCUUCUUGUGCUGUUGUUUUUUCUCUACUUGAGGAAAUGUUCUGAAAACCAAAGAGUAUCUCCUUUACCUUCUCUAUCAGCCUCAAUUUAU